RNAcentral lists this transfer RNA (88 nucleotides) under Virgisporangium ochraceum. Its description in RNAcentral is "tRNA-His". The record is from RNAcentral. Lineage: Bacteria; Bacillati; Actinomycetota; Actinomycetes; Micromonosporales; Micromonosporaceae.
GUGGCUGCUGGCCCGGCUCAACCACCAGCUGGUGAUGCUGGGGCCGCAGCCGAUGCGGUGGGUCGUCAUGUUCUACCUGAUGGCCACG